Molecule: microRNA precursor, 145 nt
Filed under: Gossypium arboreum
Lineage: Eukaryota; Viridiplantae; Streptophyta; Magnoliopsida; Malvales; Malvaceae
Description: MIR7502 microRNA precursor family
Rfam family: MIR7502 microRNA precursor family
Source: Rfam by way of RNAcentral
UAUUAAAAUUUUCAUCCAUUUCUUCCCUUAAAAAUUGACUUAGUAGAUAAAAUAACUAGAUAAUUAUAUGUAUUGUGUUACGUGUACCUUUUACUAACGUAAAAAGAUAAAUUUGUAACAAUAAAAAUAAAUAAAAUUUUGAAUA